RNAcentral lists this long non-coding RNA (969 nucleotides) under Marmota monax (woodchuck). Lineage: Eukaryota; Metazoa; Chordata; Mammalia; Rodentia; Sciuridae. The record is from RNAcentral.
CAGUUUAUUCUGGUGCAUAGUUUUGGAAGUUCCAGUCCACGAUUGGUUGGCCCAUUGCUCUGGGCCUAUGUUGAGGUGGCACAUCAUGGCAGAAGUGCAUGAGGGAGUGAAACCAUUCAUUUUGAGCUAAGGAUGUAACUCCAUGGUAGAACACUUGCCUAGUAUGUGUGAGGCAACAAAAAACUCACCUACCUUAGGAGAUAGGGAGUGAAAAGGAAGAGGAAGAAACCCAGGUCCCCUUUGAGGGCAUACCCCCAAGGCCCUAAAGGACCUCCCACUAGUCCCACCUCCUACAGUUUCCACCACCUCUUAAAAGCACCACCAUGGGGACCAAGCCUUUAACAGUGGAUCUUUGAAGAUAUUCAAUAUCCAAACUAAAGCAUCAUUCUGUCUUCUUUUAAAACACCCUCUCCCAUUCCAGUUUGACACUGACAGGAGAGCAAUGGAUUGAAGUUCACAAUAUUAAGCACCAUUUUAUAAGAGAUUUAACAACUUUCAUGCUGACAGGUACUGGUGGACCAAUAAGCAGGCAGAAGAGCUGCCUAGAUCUCCAGCAUUCUCUCCAUGGUGGCCAUUGUCAAUGAGGUGGCAUCUAGUAUCCAUAAUAAAACAUGCAGUGUGUUCUAUUUUCAAUGGUUCAAAGAAGGUUUCUAAGAAAAUAUAUUAUUUAGUCUAAGAUGGAGAUUGCUUUGUUGACAUAACCUACCAAUAGUCAUAAAUGUUAUGAGUGAUUUAUAGGAUAAAGCUGCAUCACAAAUUUAUAAAUUUUCCCAUCUUUGUAAAAGUGCUAAAUAGUUAAAUUACAUAAUGGUUUGCUUUUUAAAAAAGCUAGUUUAUUUUGUAAUUGUAAUUCACAUUGGAAUUUUUGGUGCCUGGAAUAAUUUUUUAUGAAAUAUCCUUUCAUAUACAUGUUUUUGACCUGAAGUAAUUUUUGUUAGUGAAAGGUUAUGUCCAUUAUAUACCAAUACA